This 24-nucleotide non-coding RNA is filed under the name Arabidopsis thaliana (thale cress). Lineage: Eukaryota; Viridiplantae; Streptophyta; Magnoliopsida; Brassicales; Brassicaceae. The record is from RNAcentral.
UCCAAAUACUUCACUGUCUGCUGC